CCCAGACUCCUACGGGAGGCAGCAGUGGGGAAUAUUGCACAAUGGGGGAAACCCUGAUGCAGCGACGCCGCGUGAGUGAAGAAGUAUUUCGGUAUGUAAAGCUCUCUCAGCAGGGAAGAAAAUGACGGUACCUGAUUAAGAAGCCCCGGCUGACUACGUGCCAGCAGCCGCGGUAAUACGUAGGGGGCAAGCGUUAUCCGGAUUUACUGGGUGUAAAGGGAGCGUAGACGGUGAUGCAAGUCAGAAGUGAAAGCCCGGGGCUCAACUCCGGGACUGCUUUUGAAACCGUGUAACUGGAGUGCAGGAGAGGUAAGCGGAAUUCCUGGUGUAGCGGUGAAAUGCGUAGAUAUCAGGAGGAACACCAGUGGCGAAGGCGGCUUACUGGACUGUAACUGACGUUGAGGCUCGAAAGCGUGGGGAGCAAACAGGAUUAGAUACCCGCGUA
RNAcentral lists this ribosomal RNA (445 nucleotides) under uncultured bacterium. RNAcentral's name for it is "bacterial SSU rRNA". It matches the Rfam family "Bacterial small subunit ribosomal RNA", at positions 330 to 792 of the family's 1533-position model. The record is from RNAcentral.